RNAcentral lists this ribosomal RNA (847 nucleotides) under Lactiplantibacillus plantarum. RNAcentral's name for it is "Lactobacillus plantarum partial 23S ribosomal RNA". It matches the Rfam family "Bacterial large subunit ribosomal RNA", at positions 1095 to 1951 of the family's 2925-position model. Lineage: Bacteria; Bacillati; Bacillota; Bacilli; Lactobacillales; Lactobacillaceae. The record is from RNAcentral.
AGGAUGUUGGCUCAGAAGCAGCCACCAUUUAAAGAGUGCGUAAUAGCUCACUAGUCGAGUGAUCCUGCGCCGAAAAUGUACCGGGGCUAAGCAUACUACCGAAACCAUGGAUGCGACCAUUAGGUCGCGUGAUAGGAGAGCGUUCUAAGGGCGGUGAAGCAAGAUCGUGAGGACUUGUGGAGCGCUUAGAAGUGAGAAUGCCGGUAUGAGUAGCGAAAGAUAGGUGAGAAUCCUAUCCACCGAAUGACUAAGGUUUCCUGGGGAAGGCUCGUCCUCCCAGGGUUAGUCGGGACCUAAGUCGAGGCCGAGAGGCGUAGACGAUGGAUAACAGGUUGAGAUUCCUGUACUAGUUAAGUGCGUUUGAGCAAUGGAGGGACGCAGGAGGCUAAGAUGUGCAUUCUGUUGGAUUAGAAUGUCCAAGCAGUAAGUCUUGUGAAGAGUCAAAUGCUUUUCACUUUAAGGACAAGCUGUGAUGGGGAGCGAAAUUUAGUAGCGAAGCGUCUGAUGUCACACUGCCGAGAAAAGCUUCUAGUGAGUACUUAACUACCCGUACCGCAAACCGACACAGGUAGUCGAGGAGAGAAUCCUAAGGUGAGCGAGUGAACUCUCGUUAAGGAACUCGGCAAAAUGACCCCGUAACUUCGGGAGAAGGGGUGCUGAUCGCAAGAUCAGCCGCAGUGAAUAGGCCCAGGCGACUGUUUAUCAAAAACACAGGUCUCUGCAAAAUCGUAAGAUGACGUAUAGGGGCUGACGCCUGCCCGGUGCUGGAAGGUUAAAAGGAUGGGUUAGCUUCGGCGAAGCUCAGAAUUGAAGCCCCAGUAAACGGCGGCCGUAACUAUAACGGUCC